This 403-nucleotide ribosomal RNA is filed under the name uncultured bacterium. Its description in RNAcentral is "partial 16S ribosomal RNA". It matches the Rfam family "Bacterial small subunit ribosomal RNA", at positions 30 to 526 of the family's 1533-position model. The record is from RNAcentral.
AUUGAACGCUGGCGGCAGGCCUAACACAUGCAAGUCGAGCGAGCGGCGCACGGGAGAGUAAUGUAUGGGGAUUGCUAGAAAGCGGGGGAUAACUACUGGAAACGGUGGCUAAUACCGCAUACUAGUGGAUAACCCAUAUGGGAUUAGCUAGUAGGUGGGGUAAAGGCUCACCUAGGAGACGAUCUCUAGCUGGUAUGCGAGGAUGAUCAGCCACACUGGGACGGAGACACGGCCCAGACUCCUACGGAGGCAGCAGUGGGGAAUAUUGCACAAUGGGCGCAAGCCUGAUGCAGCCAUGCCGCGUGUAUGAAGAAGGCCUUAGGAUUGUAAAGUACUGUCAGCGGGGAGGCGUUACCCGCAGAAGAAGCACCGGCUAACUCCGUGCCAGCAGCCGCGGUAAUUC